RNAcentral lists this unclassified non-coding RNA (212 nucleotides) under Hevea brasiliensis (rubber tree). Lineage: Eukaryota; Viridiplantae; Streptophyta; Magnoliopsida; Malpighiales; Euphorbiaceae. The record is from RNAcentral.
ACUCUUCCAAUUGCAGGCUCUCAAGAGAUCCUGCAGCUUUGACAAAAGAGAUCAGCCCAUUGUCUGACACAAAGCAACAUUUACGAAGGCACAUCUGCUUCAGGUUUGUACAGCCCUUUGCCAUUGUUUCAAGACUCACAUCUGUUAUCCCCCGACAAGAAGAAACUGUCAAAGACGACAAUUUCUGCAAACCUCGAGCAUUACCCAUGACC